UACGUAGGGUGCGAGCGUUGUCCGGAAUUACUGGGCGUAAAGAGCUCGUAGGUGGUUUGUCGCGUUGUUCGUGAAAACCUGAGGCUUAACCUUGGGCGUGCGGGCGAUACGGGCAGACUGGAGUACUGCAGGGGAGACUGGAAUUCCUGGUGUAGCGGUGGAAUGCGCAGAUAUCAGGGGGAACACCGGUGGCGAAGGCGGGUCUCUGGGCAGUAACUGACGCUGAGGAGCGAAAGCGUGGGGAGCGAACAGG
RNAcentral lists this ribosomal RNA (253 nucleotides) under uncultured bacterium. Its description in RNAcentral is "partial 16S ribosomal RNA". It matches the Rfam family "Bacterial small subunit ribosomal RNA", at positions 524 to 776 of the family's 1533-position model. The record is from RNAcentral.